UCGGCAAUGGGGGAAACCCUGACCGAGCGACGCCGCGUGCGGGAUGAAGGCCCUCGGGCUGUAAACCACUGUCAACGGGGAGGAAAUGCAGAGGGGUUCUCCCCUCUGUUUGACCUAUCUGUGGAGGAAGUACGGGCUAAGUUCGUGCCAGCAGCCGCGGUAAGACGAACCGUACAAACGUUACUCGGAAUUACUGGGCUUAAAGGGUGCGUAGGCUGCGCGGAAAGUUGGGUGUGAAAGCCCUCAGCUCAACUGAGGAACUGCACUCAAAACUACCGUGCUCGAGGGAGACAGAGGUAAGCGGAACUCAAGGUGGAGCGGUGAAAUGCGUUGAUAUCUUGAGGAACACCGGUGGCGAAGGCGGCUUACUGGGUCUUUUCUGACGCUGAGGCACGAAAGCUAAGGUAGCAAACGGGAUUAGAUACCCCGGUAGUCUUAGCUGUAAACGAUGAGCACUUGUUUGAAGGGUCCUCCAUAGCCUUUCAGACGUAGCGAAAGUGUUAAGUGCUCCGCCUGGGGAGUAUGGUCGCAAGGCUGAAACUCAAAGA
This 548-nucleotide ribosomal RNA is filed under the name uncultured Planctomycetota bacterium. RNAcentral describes it as "bacterial SSU rRNA". It matches the Rfam family "Bacterial small subunit ribosomal RNA", at positions 365 to 907 of the family's 1533-position model. Lineage: Bacteria; Pseudomonadati; Planctomycetota. The record is from RNAcentral.